GACUGGGCCCUGGGAUUUGCUGCUCACGACCCGAGUUCACUGAGACAUCAGGAGCAAGCACUGGAGGCCGGUGCUGCUGGACCCAGAUGGGAGCCAUGCAGGACUUGACCAUUGCCUGCACACACUUCAUCCCAGGAGAAGGGGAAUGAGGAAGGCAGACUGGCAUCACAGGACCCUGCAGAGUAUUAACUCAGACCCUGGUGACUGAGGUCCAGUACCAAUACUAUACCUGCUGGAUCCAGUACUGCGGCAGGGUAAGACCAGCCAGGACAAGCCAGUGCCAGGUGGCACAGGUGUUUGGAAAAGGCCUGACGUGUACCCAACUGUGUGAAGGAAUGGGGGACCCAAAACACAGGGCAAAGAAUUAUGCUUCCAUCCAGGAGAGAAAAGGUCUGGAUCCCCUAGGGUUGCCACCAGGAUCACCAGAAAGUUUGUUAAAUAGAGAAGCACUUGAUAGAAGGCACCUGGAUAAGGAUGGACAGAAAUCAGAGGCCUUGGCUAUCUGGAUUCUGACUUCUUCAAAAAGAUGAGAUGAUAGAUGAGAGUGGGUGCCUUAGAUCUCACUUCCUUUUCUUUAACAUAUUUUUGUUGCUGGGAUGAGAUUCUAGCCAUUCCUAAUAUAAAUACUAUUGAAAGCAAAGGGAAACGGAAAAUUUAGUUCUUGUAUCUGCUCACUCUUAAGACGGAAUAACAAAAAGCUGAAGACUGGGUCUCUUGCAGAUGUUUUGUUGUUGUUUCCUCAGGUUGGAAUGGUAGGAGCAGAGCAAGAUCCUUGAUGGGCCAAUACUGUUCUCUUAUGGCACAAGUUCCAGUAUAUAGAUAAUUUCUGCCACACAAGGUCCUAGAAGCCCCUAAAACUGAGUCUAUGGGUGCUCAAGUGGUUGCAGACUCUGCUAAACAUUACAUUAUUUCUGUGGGUACCCUGCAGCCAUUCAUUAGUAUAGUCUUGAUACAUAACCUAGUAAACAGGACCCGAACCAAGUGUAUAGUUGUCCUGAGGUACAUGAAGAAUAAGUGGAGGGGCAGAACUUCACAGUUUGCUUUUUAAAAGAUUUUUAAAAAUUACUUAUUGGGGUUGGAGAAAUGGCUUUUCGGUUAAGAGCACUGACUGCUCUUCCAGAGGUCCUGAGUUCAGUUCCCAGCAACCACAUGGUGGCUCACAACCAUCUGUAAUGGGAUCUAGUGUGCCUGAAGACAGCUACAGUAUACUCAUAUACAUAAAAUGAAUCUUUUUUAAAAAAAACAGUUACUUAUUUUGUACUUGUUAUUGUUUUUAUCAUUUUCUAAUCAUAUGUAUAUAUCUGUGCAAGCUUAAGUACCUACCAACCCCUCUUGGAUGAUAGGAACCAUCUCUGGCCUCAAGAGCAGUGCAUAAAGCUCACUCAUUCCUCCAACCCCAAGCACGGUCUCAUAACAAUUAUUUCCUCUGUAGAGUCUCUUAGCAAGCUCAUCCAUGACCACUGAAUUUCCAUUGGAAAUGACUGAUUUACUAUGACUGAAGAAGCUAUGAGGAACGCCAAACUCCCAAAG
RNAcentral lists this long non-coding RNA (1530 nucleotides) under Mus spicilegus (steppe mouse). Its description in RNAcentral is "lncRNA (ENSMSIG00000017074.1)". The record is from RNAcentral. Lineage: Eukaryota; Metazoa; Chordata; Mammalia; Rodentia; Muridae.